RNAcentral lists this ribosomal RNA (368 nucleotides) under Tomopterna sp. B Beira. RNAcentral's name for it is "partial 12S ribosomal RNA". It matches the Rfam family "Bacterial small subunit ribosomal RNA", at positions 865 to 1403 of the family's 1533-position model. Lineage: Eukaryota; Metazoa; Chordata; Amphibia; Anura; Pyxicephalidae. The record is from RNAcentral.
AUCAGCGCCCGGGUAUUACGAGCCUCAGCUUAAAACCCAAAGGACUUGACGGUGUCCCACCCACCUAGAGGAGCCUGUUCUAUAAUCGAUUCCCCCCGCUUCACCUCACCAUUUUUAGCCAUCCAGCCUGUAUACCUCCGUCGUAAGCUUACCAUGUGAACGCCCUCAGUGAGCCAAAUGGUCGUACCACCAACACGUCAGGUCAAGGUGCAGCUCAUGAAAUGGAAAGCAAUGGGCUACAAUUUCUAAUGCAGAACAAACGGAAGACUACAUGAAACACAGUCAUAAAGGCGGAUUUAGUAGUAAAAAGAAAAUAGCGUGUUCUUUUUAACUAGGCACUGGGACGCGUACACACCGCCCGUCACCCU